RNAcentral lists this transfer RNA (57 nucleotides) under Dipodomys ordii (Ord's kangaroo rat). It matches the Rfam family "tRNA", at positions 8 to 63 of the family's 71-position model. From Rfam's summary of the family: Transfer RNA (tRNA) molecules are approximately 80 nucleotides in length. Their secondary structure includes four short double-helical elements and three loops (D, anti-codon, and T loops). The record is from Rfam by way of RNAcentral. Lineage: Eukaryota; Metazoa; Chordata; Mammalia; Rodentia; Heteromyidae.
UGGCUCAGUGGUAGAGUGCUUGCCUUGUAUGCAUGAGGCCUUGGGUUCAAUUCCUCA